Molecule: ribosomal RNA, 443 nt
Filed under: uncultured bacterium
Lineage: Bacteria
Description: partial 16S ribosomal RNA
Rfam family: Bacterial small subunit ribosomal RNA
Source: RNAcentral
CCUACGGGGGGCAGCAGUGGGGAAUAUUGGGCAAUGGAGGCAACUCUGACCCAGCAACGCCGCGUGAAUGAUGAAGGUCUUCGGAUUGUAAAGUUCUGUGAUGGGGGAUGAACACAAUGACGGUACCCCAAUAGCAAGCCACGGCUAACUACGUGCCAGCAGCCGCGGUAAUACAUAGGUGGCAGGCGUUAUCCGGAAUGACUGGGCGUAAAGGGUGCGUAGGUGGGUUUGUAAGUUGGCGGUGUAAUUCCGGGGCUCAACCCCGUCAGUGCCGUCAAAACUAUUAGACGAGAGUGCAGGAGGGGUAAGUGGAAUUCCUGGUGUAGCGGUGAAAUGCGUAGAUAUUAGGAGGAACAUCAGGGGCGAAGGCGACUUACUGGACUGUAACUGACACUGAGGCACGAAAGCGUGGGGAGCAAACAGGAUUAGAUACCCUUGUAGUC